GGGGAAUUUUGGACAAUGGGCGGAAGCCUGAUCCAGCCAUGCCGCGUGAGUGAAGAAGGCCUUCGGGUUGUAAAGCUCUUUCGGUGGGGAAGAAAUCGCCUGUGCUAAUACCAUAGGCGGAUGACGGUACCCGCAUAAGAAGCACCGGCUAACUACGUGCCAGCAGCCGCGGUAAUACGUAGGGUGCGAGCGUUAAUCGGAAUUACUGGGCGUAAAGCGUGCGCAGGCGGUUGUGUAAGUCAGACGUGAAAUCCCCGGGCUCAACCUGGGAACUGCGUUUGAGACUGCACGGCUAGAGGAUAGCAGAGGGGGGUAGAAUUCCACGUGUAGCAGUGAAAUGCGUAGAGAUGUGGAGGAACACCGAUGGCGAAGGCAGCCCCCUGGGCCAAUACUGACGCUCAUGCACGAAAGCGUGGGGAGCAAAC
This 425-nucleotide ribosomal RNA is filed under the name uncultured bacterium. RNAcentral's name for it is "bacterial SSU rRNA". It matches the Rfam family "Bacterial small subunit ribosomal RNA", at positions 356 to 773 of the family's 1533-position model. The record is from RNAcentral.